UUUAAAUUAAUGAUUGGUGUCGCAGUUCACGAAUUCGCUAACAACUUUUAUCCCUGUCCUAUUUCGGCGAUUUCUGCUAUUAAUCACGGUACAUGUUGCACGGUCAUUUGCCGCCAAUGAGACUUGCCCACAGGCAAAAUUUCAACGAAACAAUCAUUAUGAAGAGUUCAUGUUUAGAAUGUGUUCUGAACACGUUUUUACGCCUUCACAAGUACCUGAACCACAAUGUAAGUCAGUCGAUGUAGCGAUAAUUCAAAAUAUCAGUGAUAACAGAACUGGAAAAGUUGUCACGUCGGCUUUACACCAUCUUCGACAGAAGUAAGCACGAGAUGCGAGAGCCUUCUGUUGCAUGCCGUGAGCCACAGCCACAGCCCCAGCAUCAAGAGCGGCCUCCCACAAAAAGAAGGAAUGGCACAACAGACGUCAUUGUGGAGGCUACCAGGACAUGAAGGCUGUGGCUGAUAUGGCCGGAACUCUGCCCCAGCCUGUCCGAGGAGACCAAUACAGUGCCCUUGCCACCCACAUCGCAGCUGAACUGCGUGAGAUGGAUAAUGUGGGUAGUAAGAUAUUUACAACUGCCGGAAGUCACGGUUUGCAGUGGUAUCUGAUGGACAGGUGGGAUUUGCUGCAUUUGACAACACAAGAAGCACGACCAUCCACCUCUGGGUGUAUCCAGGCUGCCUUGCAGCAGGCUGGUAUAGAAGAGAAUACCGUAUAAUUUUUUUGUAGCUCUCCAAUCUUCUUAAUUUAUUUUUGUACUCAGGAUGCCUCAUGUUGUAAAACACCUAAUCGGCCUCAUACAUCUCUAUUAAUUUUGUAGUUUCGGACACCAAUUGGUACAUGCUGUGUUAAUAAAAUAAAAUGAAAUAAAAAUUGAUCUUAAUGAACA
Schistocerca piceifrons (Central American locust) is the source of this 889-nucleotide long non-coding RNA. RefSeq lists it as uncharacterized. The record is from RefSeq and is a predicted model, not a curated record. The transcript has 3 exons. Lineage: Eukaryota; Metazoa; Arthropoda; Insecta; Orthoptera; Acrididae.